This 119-nucleotide ribosomal RNA is filed under the name Pteropus alecto (black flying fox). Lineage: Eukaryota; Metazoa; Chordata; Mammalia; Chiroptera; Pteropodidae. The record is from RNAcentral.
GUCUACGGCCAUGCCACCCUGAACAAGCCCAAUCCUGUCUGAUCUCGGAAGCUAAGCAGGGUUGGGCCUGGUUAGUACUUGGAUGGGAGACCACCUAGGAAGACCAGGUGUUAUAGGCG